This 450-nucleotide ribosomal RNA is filed under the name uncultured bacterium. RNAcentral describes it as "bacterial SSU rRNA". It matches the Rfam family "Bacterial small subunit ribosomal RNA", at positions 328 to 794 of the family's 1533-position model. The record is from RNAcentral.
UUGCCAGACUCCUACGGGAGGCAGCAGUGGGGGAUAUUGCACAAUGGGGGGAACCCUGAUGCAGCGACGCCGCGUGGGUGAAGGAGCGUUUCGGCGCGUAAAGCCCUAUCGGCAGGGAAGAAGGAGGACGGUACCUGACUAAGAAGCCCCGGCUAACUAUGUGCCAGCAGCCGCGGGAAUACAUAGGGGGCAAGCGUUAUCCGGAUUUAUUGGGUGUAAAGGGUGCGUAGACGGAGAAACAAGUUGGUUGUGAAAUCCCUCGGCUCAACUGAGGAACUGCAACCAAAACUAUUUCCCUUGAGUGUCGGAGAGGAAAGUGGAAUUCCUAGUGUAGCGGUGAAAUGCGUAGAUAUUAGGAGGAACACCAGUGGCGAAGGCGACUUUCUGGACGAUAACUGACGUUGAGGCACGAAAGUGUGGGGAGCAAACAGGAUUAGAUACCCCCGUACA